This 492-nucleotide ribosomal RNA is filed under the name uncultured bacterium. RNAcentral's name for it is "partial 16S ribosomal RNA". It matches the Rfam family "Bacterial small subunit ribosomal RNA", at positions 29 to 507 of the family's 1533-position model. The record is from RNAcentral.
AGUGAACGCUGGCGGUAGGCCUAACACAUGCAAGUCGAACGGCAGCACAGUAAGAGCUUGCUCUUACGGGUGGCGAGUGGCGGACGGGUGAGGAAUACAUCGGAAUCUACUUUUUCGUGGGGGAUAACGUAGGGAAACUUACGCUAAUACCGCAUAUGACCUACGGGUGAAAGCAGGGGAUCUUCGGACCUUGUGCGAUAGAAUGAGCCGAUUUCGGAUUAGCUAGAUGGCGGGGUAAAGGCCCACCAAGGCGGAGAUCCGUAGCUGGUCUGAGCGGAAGAUCCGGCACACUGGAACUGAGACACGGUCCAGACUCCUACGGGAAGCAGCAGUGGGGAAUAUUGGACAAAGGGGGCAAGCCUGAUCCAGCCAUACCGCGUGGGUGAAGAAGGACUUCGGGUUCUAAAGCCCUUUUGUUGGGAAAGAAGAGCAGCAGUUUAAUACCCCGCUGUUCUGACGGUACCCAAAGAAUAAGCACCGGCUAACUUCGUG